Molecule: ribosomal RNA, 254 nt
Filed under: uncultured bacterium
Lineage: Bacteria
Description: partial 16S ribosomal RNA
Rfam family: Bacterial small subunit ribosomal RNA
Source: RNAcentral
UACGUAGGGUGCAAGCGUUGUCCGGAAUUAUUGGGCGUAAAGAGCUCGUAGGCGGUUUGUCGCGUCGGUCGUGAAAACUUGGGGCUUAACCCUGAGCUUGCGGUCGAUACGGGCAUGACUGGAGUUCGGCAGGGGAGACUGGAAUUCCUGGUGUAGCGGUGAAAUGCGCAGAUAUCAGGAGGAACACCGGUGGCGAAGGCGGGUCUCUGGGCCGAUACUGACGCUGAGGAGCGAAAGCGUGGGGAGCGAACAGG